AGCAGCAGUUGGAAAUGAUGUAGAAUCUGGGGAGAGACCUUUUAAAGAAAGGUGAUAUCAAGGCUUGUUUGUGGACUGAGAAUGAUGUGUGAUCUUGGAAGUCAGCUUGAGAAUGGAGCAGUCAAGACACAAAUUGGUUGGCAGGUCAUGAUCAACAUGAGAGGAAUCUCUAUCCUGCUUCCAGGCUAUCCUUGGCACUGUGAUUUUUAAUAAAAUAAUGCACUGACUUUGCAUUCAAAGAAAUUACUGGACAGUCAAAAUAUACACACAUAUGCAAAAAUUGAGGAGCAAUUUCCCAUAAAAUACAAACCUUGGAAAUCAAGAAAGUUCUGGAAUGAUGAAGCUGUUCAUGCCAAGACCGAAAGUGCUGGCCCAGUAUGAGUCCAUUCAGUUCAUGCCGUGACAAUUUUCUUGGAACUCCUUUUUAUUGCUUGUGCUCCUGAUACAUCAGCCCAUUUCAUGGUACGUUGAAGCAUGCCUACCUGUGGGAUUGCUGGAUUCCCAGCCCAGUGAGGUAAUGACCAAGCAGCGUCUUCAGAGGAAGGAUAGCUGUACAGCGUGGUGAAGGACUCAAUGAGAAGGUGCAUUGCCCAUCCUUCAGAGAGCUCUGUGUGAAUCCAUAAAAGGUGCUUAAAGCUUUUCACUCCAUGAAGCCUCAUCUGUCUCAUGAAAGCAAUAAAUGCCUGGAGGUUCAUCCAUCAAGUGAGGGGCCUUAACCAUGUUUCCAACAACAGCCUUUCCAGCCCCAUCUUCCUAUGAAGGAGAA
This 766-nucleotide small RNA is filed under the name Pan troglodytes (chimpanzee). Its description in RNAcentral is "processed transcript". Lineage: Eukaryota; Metazoa; Chordata; Mammalia; Primates; Hominidae. The record is from RNAcentral.